Molecule: ribosomal RNA, 247 nt
Filed under: uncultured archaeon
Lineage: Archaea
Description: partial 16S ribosomal RNA
Rfam family: Archaeal small subunit ribosomal RNA
Source: RNAcentral
CCGACGGUGAGAGGCGAAAGCUGGGGAGCAAACCGGAUUAGAUACCCGGGUAGUCCCAGCUGUAAACGAUGCGCGUUAGGUGUGUCAGUGACCACGUGUCACUGAUGUGCCGAAGGGAAACCGUGAAACGCGCCGCCUGGGGAGUACGGUCGCAAGGCUGAAACUUAGAGGAAUUGGCGGGGGAGCACCACAACGGGUGGAGCCUGCGGUUUAAUCGGACUCAACGCCGGAAAUCUCACCGGAUAAG